Callithrix jacchus (white-tufted-ear marmoset) is the source of this 950-nucleotide long non-coding RNA. RefSeq lists it as uncharacterized. Lineage: Eukaryota; Metazoa; Chordata; Mammalia; Primates; Cebidae. The record is from RefSeq and is a predicted model, not a curated record.
UCAACUGUCUGACUCACAUCGCUGCUCCCAGAGCUCCUGGAGCUUCAACCCUCGGCUUGGCGGCUUAAGGCUAACACUGUCCGAGCAUCUCGGAAGCCCCCUGGACCAUCAUGGAUGCCAAAUCGGGAAACUCUUAUGGAGGAGGACUCGAGUAUGUCUUCAUCAGCAGCUUGAAAACAGACUAAUACAGCUGGCUUAAUAGAUUGAAUUGAAAAUUGUUGCCUCCUUUAAAUGUUCUGGAGGCUGGGACAUCAAGGAUGAAGACCUGGGAAGAGUCAGUGUACAGUGAGGGCUGCUUCCUGAUUCAUGAAUGUUGCCUUUUCUUGGUGUCCUCACAUGGUGGAAGGAGCAAGGAGCUCUCUGGGGUCCCUUUUAUAAGGACAUUCAUUUCACUAAUGAGGAUUUUGCCUUCAUUGCAUGAUCACUUCCUAAUGGCUCUACCUCCAUCACAGUAGAGAUUAGAUUUCAAUUACAAGUUUAAGGGUGACAAAAGAAUUCAGUCCCACAGGAUUAUCUUGUUGUUACAGAUUUCUAAUGUAUUUCCAGUAUGGCCAGAAAAUAUAUUCUGUAUGAUUUCAAUGUUUUCAAUGUUUUUUUGUCUUAUGACCUGAAAUGUGGUUUCUCCUGGUAAAUGUAUAUAUUUGAGAUAAUAUGUAUUUUUCAUUGAUGUGCCUACAUAUAUAAAUAAAUUAAGUCUGGGUGCUUGAUAACGUUUUUCAAUUUUCUAUGUCUUUGCUAAAUUUUUCUUAGUUUUUGUAUUUAUAGCUGAAAGAAAGCUUUAAAAUGUCUAAUCACAUUCAUAGAAUUCUCUACUUCUCUCUGUAAUUUUGUCAAUUUUUCUUCAUGAACUCUGAAGACUUGCUAUUGGACCCAUUUUGGUUGCAUUUCUUUCUGUUGAAUUUACCCUUUUGUUAUUAUGAAGCCCCACUUUUUCUCUCUGGUAAUAUCUA